GAUGAACGCUGGCGGCGUGCUUAAGACAUGCAAGUCGAACGGGGUGCGGGGAGCAAUCCCGGUGCCCAGUGGCGCAUGGGUGCGUAACACGUAGGUGACCUACCCGGAAGCGGGGAAUAACUCUCCGAAAGGAGGGCUAAUACCGCAUGUGGUCUUGGGAGUUAGAGACCCAGGACCAAAGCCGGCCCGCAAGGGCAGGCACUUCCGGAGGGGCCUGCGGCCCAUCAGCUGGUUGGUCGGGUAAAGGCCGACCAAGGCGAUGACGGGUAGGGGACCUGAGAGGGUGGCCCCCACAUU
RNAcentral lists this ribosomal RNA (297 nucleotides) under uncultured bacterium. RNAcentral describes it as "partial 16S ribosomal RNA". It matches the Rfam family "Bacterial small subunit ribosomal RNA", at positions 28 to 314 of the family's 1533-position model. The record is from RNAcentral.